RNAcentral lists this ribosomal RNA (253 nucleotides) under uncultured bacterium. Its description in RNAcentral is "partial 16S ribosomal RNA". It matches the Rfam family "Bacterial small subunit ribosomal RNA", at positions 524 to 776 of the family's 1533-position model. The record is from RNAcentral.
UACAGAGGGUGCGAGCGUUGUUCGGAAUUACUGGGCGUAAAGCGCACGUAGGCGGCUUGGUAUGUCGGGUGUGAAAUCCCCGGGCUCAACCUGGGAACUGCACCCGAAACUGCCUUGCUCGAGUAUGGGAGAGGGAAGUGGAAUUUCCGGUGUAGCGGUGAAAUGCGUAGAUAUCGGAAGGAACAUCAGUGGCGAAGGCGACUUCCUGGACCAAUACUGACGCUCAGGUGCGAAAGCGUGGGGAGCAAACAGG